AGUUUAACACCCGAGACUGACUUCCCAGUCCCUUUUGCGUUGAAAGCAAUUGUCAACACUAACCGCUUUAAACCCUGACUUUGAAACCCUAGCUCAGGAUUUGAAGUUCUAAUUUCUUACCCUAACGACUUCACACACAAAUUUGAAAACCCUCAAUUGAAUCCCUAACCCUAAUUGUAAACCCUAAACUUUACUUCAGAUCCAAACCAUAAACCCUAACCCAGGAUGGAAACUCUAACCCUAACUUGAAACUGUAACCUGAAACCUUAACCGUGACUUGAAAUCCUAAUUUGAAACUCUAACCACUAAUUAAAAGACAAAGGGGAAAAACCUAAACAUGAACGCCUAACCUUGACUUGAAACCCUAACUCAAAACACUAACCCUGGCUUGAAAGGCUAAUUUGAAAGCCUAAACAUGACUCAAAAACAAAUUCAAAAACCCUUAUUUGAAAAACUAACGCUGGAUUGUAACAUGAUCUCAAACUACAACUCGAAACACUAACCCUUGAGACUUGAAACCCUGUCCACAAAACACUAAUUCAAAAACCAUAAAUUGAAACCCUGGAAAGAAACCCUAAUCAUGAUUUGAAAGCCUUAUGCGGAACCCUAAACCAUACUGAGCACCGUAAUUUCAAACCCUAACCAUGAUAUGAAAUCUUCAUUCAGAACACCACUUUGAAACACUCCCUGGUUUGAGGUUGAAUACGGUGCCAUCCCCAUCCCAAAGUAACAAUUGGAGAGUCAUCAAAUGAUGUUUGUGGUCUGCGGUUGGUACAAAUACACAGGGGGAAGGUUGUGGCUUCUAAUCCAGUUGUUACUCACAAGAAAAACAAAACCAACCGCCUGAGCAAAACUCGUGACGAAGGCAUGCUUUCAUGUUGUUUACUUUCUGACACUAAUCACGUGUCAGCAGAAAUGGAGUCCCACCAGGCCUGGCAACGUUUUUUCCUCAAAUCUUCUGCUGUCGGAUGAUUGCAAGUUGUUAAACAUCAGCCGAGUUAUCAGGUGUGUGAUCGUCAAUGUUCCACAUCCUUGAGAGAUGCACAGCAUAUAUUCCACUUCCAAGUCAGUCUGGACAUUUCUUCUUUGACCCCACCCCUUCCCCUGCGAUCGUUAAGGCAUUAUCUCCAGGAGAACCGCCACUAACGAGAUAUUUUCUGUUUGGAUUGUUCUCCCCCCCGCAGACAAUUCAACUCUGUGAAGCCUCUCGUCUGUGUGGGGAAAACCCCACUAAUGUCUCGGAUUGUCCUGACGACAACCAGUCACUUCAAUAGCAUUGUGACACUCGAUUUAAAUUGGAGCAUAUUGUCAUGGCCAUGUCUGCAAGCCUUUAGAGCAGGGAGUGACUGAUUAGAUGCCGCAUUUACUCAGAUAAUGGCAGUGCACACCAUUAUCCCCCAAAAAUACUGACAGUUCUCAUUUCAGUCGUGAGGCACUCUUGUACAAACAGUAAAAAAAUCUUCUGCAUGCUUUGUAUAGGGUAAAACGUGGUAGCAGCUGGUAGAAAAACUUGAAAAGCUGUUCAAGGGUUCGCUGAACCUGAAUGUAAAUAUGCAAGCCUGGAGGAAAAAAUCUGGGAAAGAGUUUGGGAUAGUUUCACAAAAAGUGUAAUGUGGAUCAAAACAAUAUGUCGUCAAUGGUCAACACAGUGUAAUGUAUCAACGUUAGACAAUUCAAUAUAACCUACUAAUUGCGAAGAAAACAAAUCCAUGAUAUUCUUAUUUAUACAUGAGCCACGGCCACAACUAAAACCAGGUCAACAGACAGACUGGCUAACGGUAGUGAUGGCAAAAAAAAGCUUCAAAUUUGCUUCAUGGCUUUGUUGUAUUUUUUGACUCCUCGAUAUGGCACUGUUGGUUUAAAUAAAGGGGUCUAAGAAUAGGCAUGUCGGUGUGCUGUUAGCCCAGUGGUGACCAGAGAGUGCCAUCGAGAGGAGU
Hippocampus comes (tiger tail seahorse) is the source of this 1937-nucleotide long non-coding RNA. RefSeq lists it as uncharacterized. The record is from RefSeq and is a predicted model, not a curated record. NCBI's taxonomy places the organism in Eukaryota, Metazoa, Chordata, Actinopteri, Syngnathiformes, Syngnathidae. The transcript is spliced from 2 exons.